Non-coding RNA from Camellia sinensis, 587 nucleotides. NCBI's taxonomy places the organism in Eukaryota, Viridiplantae, Streptophyta, Magnoliopsida, Ericales, Theaceae. The record is from RefSeq and is a predicted model, not a curated record.
GAUGAACUAUUUAUGAAUGUAUAUCACAUGUGUCACCUUUUGUAUACUAACUCUGAUUAAUGAAAGCUUCCUAUUUCACUUAUAUAACUUUGUACUAGUAGUUUGGAGUUGGAUUGUAUAAUUAUUUCCGGGGCGUUACAAUAUCUCCAUCUUUGUCACUUAUUUAUGAUGUUCUCGAUUUAGAUUAGAGGCAAAGGAUAAAAUGUUAUGGACAUGGGAAUUUAAUGGUCAAUAUUGUGUAGCUUCAUUUGUAAUCAUCAUCAGGCUUCUUAUGGUCUCUCAAGAAUGGAAGGAAGUUGUAGACAUUAUCCUAGUGGAACAAUGCACCAGGUAAAGGCCUAUAAGGAGAUAAAGGAGUACUUAAUUAACAACUUCAUUACUUGCAUAGAUCAGGUAAGGGAGUAUAAAUUGUAAUUUGGUUUUGAGAUCUAGUAAUUUAAAAGUAUUAAGAAAGUUUUGUAAUGGUUUCUUAUAAUUUUGCUUUUUAAGAGUUUGCUUCCAAGUUGGAACCCUUAUAUUACUUAUUAAUAAAAUUUUCUUUUGCCCCAAAAACAUUUCUUUACACAUCACUAUCAUGUAUGGUGAUU